AGAGUUUGAUCCUGGCUCAGGACGAACGCUGGCGGCGUGCUUAACACAUGCAAGUCGAACGAGAGUCUACUGAAAGAGUUUUCGGACAAUGGAUGUAGAGGAAAGUGGCGGACGGGUGAGUAACGCGUGAGGAACCUGCCUUGAAGAGGGGGACAACAGUUGGAAACGACUGCUAAUACCGCAUGACGCAUAGGGGUCGCAUGAUCUUUAUGCCAAAGAUUUAUCGCUUCAAGAUGGCCUCGCGUCUGAUUAGCUAGUUGGCGGGGUAACGGCCCACCAAGGCGACGAUCAGUAGCCGGACUGAGAGGUUGAACGGCCACAUUGGGACUGAGAUACGGCCCAGACUCCUACGGGAGGCAGCAGUGGGGAAUAUUGGGCAAUGGGCGCAAGCCUGACCCAGCAACGCCGCGUGAAGGAAGAAGGCUUUCGGGUUGUAAACUUCUUUUAAGAGGGAAGAGCAGAAGACGGUACCUCUAGAAUAAGCCACGGCUAACUACGUGCCAGCAGCCGCGGUAAUACGUAGGUGGCAAGCGUUGUCCGGAUAUACUGGGUGUAAAGGGCGUGCAGCCGGGUCUGCAAGUCAGAUGUGAAAUCCAUGGGCUCAACCCAUGAACUGCAUUUGAAACUGUAGAUCUUGAGUGUCGGAGGGGCAAUCGGAAUUCCUAGUGUAGCGGUGAAAUGCGUAGAUAUUAGGAGGAACACCAGUGGCGAAGGCGGAUUGCUGGACGAUAACUGACGGUGAGGCGCGAAAGUGUGGGGAGCAAACAGGAUUAGAUACCCUGGUAGUCCACACUGUAAACGAUGAAUACUAGGUGUGCGGGGACUGACCCCCUGCGUGCCGCAGUAAACACAAUAAGUAUUCCACCUGGGGAGUACGAUCGCAAGGUUGAAACUCAAAGGAAUUGACGGGGGCCCGCACAAGCGGUGGAUUAUGUGGUUUAAUUCGAAGCAACGCGAAGAACCUCACCAGGGUUUGACAUCCUGCUAACGAAGUAGAGAUACAUUAGGUGCCCUUCGGGGAAAGCAGAGACAGGUGGUGCAUGGUUGUCGUCAGCUCGUGUCGUGAGAUGUUGGGUUAAGUCCCGCAACGAGCGCAACCCCUAUUGUUAGUUGCUACGCAAGAGCACUCUAGCGAAACUGCCGUUGACAAAACGGAGGAAGGUGGGGACGACGUCAAAUCAUCAUGCCCCUUAUAUCCUGGGCUACACACGUAAUACAAUGGCGGUCAACAGAGGGAAGCAAAGCCGCGAGGCAGAGCAAACCCCCAAAAGCCGUCCCAGUUCGGAUUGUAGGCUGCAACUCGCCUGCAUGAAGUCGGAAUCGCUAGUAAUCGCGGAUCAGCAUGCCGCGGUGAAUACGUUCCCGGGCCUUGUACACACCGCCCGUCACACCAUGAGAGUCGGGAACACCCGAAGUCCGUAGCCUAACCUGAAAAGGAGGGCGCGGCCGAAGGUGGGUUCGAUAAUUGGGGUGAAGUCGUAACAAGGUA
This 1489-nucleotide ribosomal RNA is filed under the name metagenome. RNAcentral's name for it is "bacterial SSU rRNA". It matches the Rfam family "Bacterial small subunit ribosomal RNA". The record is from RNAcentral.